Molecule: ribosomal RNA, 253 nt
Filed under: uncultured bacterium
Lineage: Bacteria
Description: partial 16S ribosomal RNA
Rfam family: Bacterial small subunit ribosomal RNA
Source: RNAcentral
UACGAGGGGGGCAAGCGUUGUUCGGAAUUAUCGGGCGUAAAGGGUGCGUAGGCGGUUUUGUAAGUCUUGUGUGAAAUCUUCAGGCUCAACUUGAAGACUGCACGAGAAACUGCAGGGCUUGAGUGUGGGAGAGGUGAGUGGAAUUCCUGGUGUAGCGGUGAAAUGCGUAGAUAUCAGGAGGAACACCUGUGGCGAAAGCGGCUCACUGGACCACAACUGACGCUGAUGCACGAAAGCUAGGGGAGCAAACAGG